This 1176-nucleotide long non-coding RNA is filed under the name Ananas comosus (pineapple). Its description in RNAcentral is "long non-coding RNA (ACOM_LNC019103)". Lineage: Eukaryota; Viridiplantae; Streptophyta; Magnoliopsida; Poales; Bromeliaceae. The record is from RNAcentral.
AAAAUAGCCAUUUUAUACAUGUUAAAUAAUACGAAACAUGGACUUCAAUUGGAUGGGAGAAAAUUAAUAAUACUAAGAGUUUGACAUGAGUAGAACUAACGAUCUCAUGCUCUGAUCUAAUAUUAAAUAAUACGAAACAACCGUUAUUCGCUAAAAACUUAAACUGAUAAAAAGUAGUAUUUAAAUAUUUGUAUAUUUAACAAUACAUAUAUACAUGCUCCAAAUUAAAGAGUAUUUUCUAUUAGCCUUGAUGUGGCAAUUUUAUUUACCAAGUACUAUAAGUAUACGGUGCUAUAUAAUUUAACUAAUUAACAUAAUAACUACAAAUUUUUUAUGCUAAUGAAGCACCGACACGAUUGUUAGAUAUUGCCUUUGUAACGGCCGUAGCACUAAUAAUGGUUUUAAAUAUAAUUUUUGGUGAUCCCAAAGUGUUACUAUAUAUUGUGUGUGUGUGUAUAUAACUAUAUAUAGCCAUCAUUUUACUAUGCCCUACAUCCAUAUUUUUCUUUGUAGAUUGUCUUUAUGUGCCACUGAAGUGUACCCCAAAAAAAAGUGUUCUCCAUUCACUUUCGAGGUUAGAAAGGUAAAAAAGUGUUCACUAUUCACUUUGCUUUAUAGUUCUUUUUUACCAUAUAUAUGAAAGGUGCCUAUCUAUCUGUCUAUGAGUUGAAUCUAAGGUAUAUAUGUAAUUACACUUAAGGGGUAAGUUGAGGUGAAAAUGUGUUUAAGGAUGUUACGACAAACACACAAACGAAAACGAAAAUAGCAAAUAUGAAAUAAACAAAUCACAAACAGAAAUAGAAGAACACACAGAUUUACGUGAAAAAUUUUUUGUAGGGAAAAAUCACGGACGAGGAAGGAGAGAACUUUACUAUCGAACGAAAAAGAAAAUACAAUAUUCAAAGAGUACAACCGAUCACGAUCUCACGCCUCUAGGGCAAAAAUGAAAAGGAAACUCUUAACGGGUUUUGGAUCUGAUCUCGAGCCCGUAGCCCAUCAUUGUCAUUCAUUUUUUCUUCACAAUUUAAUUUUUCAAUUUGGUCGCACCGCAAAACUGUCGGCGAGUCGAAAACCCGAACUUAAAUCGAUUAUCAAUUUCGAGUCACAUCUAACAAAGAACUCUCCGUUUGUUUUCUCAACUUUUUCGUACUCUAAUUUGAAUUAUUUAAGUCAGCU